AGGACGAACGCUGGCGGCGUGCUUAACACAUGCAAGUCGAGCGGAAAGGCCUUUCGGGGUACUCGAGCGGCGAACGGGUGAGUAACACGUGAGUAAUCUGCCCAUCGCUUCAGGAUAGCCAUCGGAAACGGUGAUUAAUACUGGAUAUGACAUUCCUUCGCAUGUUGGGGUGUGGAAAGUUUUUUCGGCGGUGGAUGUGCUCGCGGCCUAUCAGUCUUGUUGGUGGGGUAAUGGCCUACCAAGGCUUUGACGGUAGCCGGCUGGAGAGGGUGACCGGCCACACGUGGGACUGAGACACGGCCCAGACCUCCGUAACGGGAGGCAGGCCGAGGUGGGAAUAGUUGGGAACAAGUGGGCGGAAGCCGUGAUCCGAGCGAACCGCCGCGUGGAGGAUGGACCGGUCCGUUACGGGUUCGUUAAACCUCGUUUCACG
This 433-nucleotide ribosomal RNA is filed under the name uncultured soil bacterium. RNAcentral describes it as "bacterial SSU rRNA". It matches the Rfam family "Bacterial small subunit ribosomal RNA", at positions 26 to 441 of the family's 1533-position model. The record is from RNAcentral.